Molecule: long non-coding RNA, 2201 nt
Filed under: Homarus americanus (American lobster)
Lineage: Eukaryota; Metazoa; Arthropoda; Malacostraca; Decapoda; Nephropidae
Description: uncharacterized LOC121863995
Source: RNAcentral
UCCAGCACCAUCUGUUCCUUCAAUAAGUUGAGACAUGGCACGAUGUAAAUAAUAGGCCUUAAAUGAUGAUAUAACGUCUUGGUUCAAACUAUGGUUGAAGCAUAGACAUGGUAUUCAGUGGAAGGAAAACAACUAGUACAAGUUCAGACAAUUCAUUUAGGUGUGCUGGGUGGCCUAGAGCAUUAUUUAAUAUAAGUAGUGCCUUGUGUGUCAUGUUUUUCUUCGCAUAGUAUUCAUUUAAUGUUGGGCGAAAUUAUUUUUUGAACCAAUCAAUGAAAAGAGUCAUUGUCAUCCAUGCUUUAAUGUUUGACCGCCAAAUUACUGGCAAAUUUUGAUUACACCCCUUUGAAUGCUCUAGGAUUUUCAAAUUGAUAGACAGCAAGAGGUUUGAGUUUAAAGUCACCUUUUGUAUUACCACCCACGAAGAGUGUGAUAUGAUCUUUGGCUGCUUUGAAUCCUGGUGCAGCAUUCUCUUCCAUCGAAAUAAAUGUCUGGAAAGGCAUUUUCUUCCAAUAUAGUCCAGUUUCAUUAACAUUAAAAACUUGACUGGGCAAGUAGCUUAUGGUUUUAACACUUUCACUCUUACUUGCAUUUUUAAGAUAAUUAAACAAUGCUAGGGCGUUUGUUUGAAUAAUAACCAUGCUCAAUGGAGUAUGCUUCUGAUUUUUGUCUUCAAUCAAUAUACUUGAAAGUUUCUCCAUUUCUUCCAAUUUUUCUUGCUUUGGCAAACUUUAUUUGCACUUAACCGAGUUGUAGACAGAGCACUUUCUUUAAUUUUUUCUUCAUUCUUAUGGAUAGUUUUUAUUGUUGAUUCCACCAUCCCCAAAGCACGUGAAAUAUCCACAGACCUUUUUCAUAUCGUAUUAACACAUCUAGUUUCUAGGCUAAGUUUAUACACUUUCCUUUUGCUUUUGAACCAGCACUACCAUCACGAGGGUUUUAAAUACGAAUUGUCGUUAUUCGAGGCUUUCCUAUAUUGUACUUUUCUCUUAUUCUUGCUAGUGUUAUUUAGUAUUUAAAUUCAUGCUAGUGAUAAUUUAGUAUUUAAAUUCUUGCUAGUGAUAAUUUAGUAUUUAGAUUCUUGCUAGAGCUAAAUUAGUAUUUAAAUUCGUGAUAAAGACAAUUUAGUAUUUAAGUUCUUGGUAGUGUUAAUUUAGUACAGUAUUUAAAUUAUUGAUAUUGAUAAUUUAGUACAGUAUUUAGAUUCUUGCUAGUGUAGAUUUAUCAUUUGGAUUCUCAUUCCAGGUUCCUCACUUACAAUCCCCCAAAACGCAUUACCUGUCAGGAGGCAGUUCAUCACGACUAUUUCCACAAAGAAGCCCCAGCUCCUGUUGACCCCGCUAUGUUUCCUACGUGGCCGGCCAAGUCGGAAAAUCCACACGGUCGCUCAAAGAAAGUCGGGCUAAGUCCUAAGCCUCCAUCUGGUGGCAAGAACUUUAAAGAUCUGGUUGAUGGCGAUGAAGAGCUGGCUGCCAGGGGGUUCUUCUUGGGCGGAGCCAGCUCAAGUGGACCUGGUUUUGUACUCAAGAUGUGAUCACAGUUGUGUUACACAAGGUUUAUGAGGAUAUCACAAAUUGUUCAGAUGAAGACUUAUAUUUCUUUAUGCAAUAAUUGGUUAUUUAAAUGGUUAUUUCAUCUUUUUUACCUCUACAGUGGUUAGUAGUCAGACCCCAUCCAUUCUAUGAUGGCUCAUUGUUUCCAUCUGUUUGUCAUUGUUAAUUUCACUUGACAUAUCACAUAAUCUCAUUUGAAGCCUCACAUGGUAUCUAGAUAAUGUUCAGGGCUCUGAAAUAUGUUAUGGAAAGCGGUAUCGUUGACAUUAUGAUGUUAUUGCUGCACUUCGACUACUGUGAUCUUUAAGCGAGUAAUAAAUUUAGUAAUUACAUCAGUCCAUCAACAGUUAAUGAUCAACUAUGGUCUUUAAGCGAAAAAUUUUUUUUGUAAUUAUGUCUGUCCAUCAACAGUUAAUGAGUUGAUAACAUCACUUGAACUUCCUAGCCAGAGAGAGGAGAGUGGCCUUUACCCCCUCCACACCCUGGUAAACACUGGCCACUGUGAGAGGUGUCUGGUUACCAGGUUAAGUUGUCACAUGUCAAAGAAUUCUACAGGUUAGAAAUUAACUCACUUGGCCGGAAAACUUAUCAUAGAUGUACUGUAUGUCAUUACCACUGAAGGGUUUAAAAAUAAACUGGUACAAAUAA